This is a non-coding RNA of Meleagris gallopavo (turkey), 1527 nucleotides long. The record is from RefSeq and is a predicted model, not a curated record. NCBI's taxonomy places the organism in Eukaryota, Metazoa, Chordata, Aves, Galliformes, Phasianidae.
AGAAUAAAAUUUGCCUCAAAUUCUCACUCACAGUUAAAGUCAUUAUUCAGAAAUUAAAGGAAUAAACAAUGAGAUAGAUCCACUUUCCCAUUAGGUGUUAAUUCCAAAUAAUGGAAUUAAUGGGCCUGACUCCAAAAAAGCUAACUGCAAGUUCCAAAUCCAUGAUCCCUGGUUUACAGUGGUUAACUGUAGCACUGUUAAGCAAAAUACAGAAUGUAAUUCCAUGUAUUUUAGCCCUAUUAUUUCAUAAAGUUUCUUAUAUGGAAAGACUGGACGAAAAGGAAAUGCAGUCAGAUAAGUUAAUGUGCAUAGAGGAGAUACUUCAAAUCUUUAGGACCUUUGUAGUUAAUUCAAACAUUGUUCGCUGAUAUUUUCUUCUCAAACAACAAAAUUCCAGUUCUCUAGCUAGGUACAUUAACUCUGAACAUAAACAGAAGCAUUCUAUGCAGAUUCAGUUGUCUGACACUCUCAGACUUGCAAGUUUGUUUUUUUUUUUACAUGGGACAUUAUUCUUCAAUGCCAGAAGAAAAAAUUUGUCUCCAUCCUGAUCAGAUAUGAAAACAAGGCUUUUCCCCUCCGUGUGCCACAGUAGAUACAAAGUUUGGGGAAAAAAAUAAUAUCUGGGGAAAAGAGAAGUGUUAUUUGUGUUAUUUGCUUGUGGCCCAAACACAGCUUUAAUGAGGUAGAAUAAAUGUCUUAAAGCAGAAAAACAGUUUUAAUCUGCCGACUCUGUUUCUAAAACACAGGAUUAAUUCUAACAUUUCUGCUCAGCCCAUUUGCUUGUCCUGAGAUGCAUGUAUUAUAGCUACAGGGCAACAACAAACAAAAUGCAUAAAGGACUUGCAGAGUGCACAGUCUAAUUAGCAUUGCAAGAGAAAAAGGUGACAGAACACACUUUGACUCCUGAAGCAUCCUGGUCUGGGAGCACUGACAGGCGUGCUGGCAUUUUCCAUUGUGCUGAAGCUUUGCUUUGCUUUGCAGUUGGAAGCUCUUUGGGAGAGCAGAGAUGGUGAUCAAAGAAAGGGCACAGUUCUCUCUGGGUACAAGCAUCUCUGUUCUGCAAGCUGAGCUCAAACCUAUUAAAUCUCACAGGACACCAUCUUCUGUCCUAUGAAAAGCACGUAAGGGGCACUCUGGGAUAGUUCAGCAGAAGACUUCUAUCUAUCUUUCUAUUAUAACAGCCUAUUUGGAUUUUAGUCAGCAGGAUUGUGGCUGUGGUGCACAACACUGCUAUCAUGGCAGACUGUGCUCACAAAUCCAGGAGGUCCACCUGAAGUAAAAGAGACAGGUUUGUGUAAAAGCUGGGAGAAGCAGCAGGAGUGGCUGUACAGAGAGCCCCAAAGAGAGCUUCACACCCCCACCCAGGACCUGCUUACAGCGUCAUGUCAAGAAUGGAUUCUGCUUAUCCUGACAUUUCAUUCCUGUGAGAGGAGAUGUUCAGCUGCAAAAGGCAGAAGUGUCAGGAAGUAUCUCUCUAAACAUUUUGUCACCAGGGAGAAGUGAAGAGGGAAGGCUUUCAGAAGCUGC